GACGAACCGUGCGAACGUUAUUCGGAAUCACUGGGCUUAAAGCGCGUGUAGGCGGGGUGGCACGUCCGGCGCUGAAAUCCCCCGGCUCAACCGGGGAACGGGCGCGGAUACGACCGCCCUCGAGGGACGUAGGGGGACCUGGAACUUCCGGUGGAGCGGUGAAAUGCGUUGAGAUCGGAAGGAACGCCCGUGGCGAGAGCGAGGUCCUGGACGUCCGCUGACGCUGAGACGCGAAAGCCAGGGGAGCGAACGGG
Molecule: ribosomal RNA, 254 nt
Filed under: uncultured bacterium
Lineage: Bacteria
Description: partial 16S ribosomal RNA
Rfam family: Bacterial small subunit ribosomal RNA
Source: RNAcentral